CCAUUUCAAAUUGAAUGAAACCUCUGGCAUUCUUCCUGAUGCCUCGAGCUCUGAGGUAUGACCAUGUUUCCUGAUGCCUGGAGCUCUGAGCUAUGACCAUGUUUCCUGAUGCCUGGAGCUCUGAGCUAUGACCAUGUUUCCUGAUGCCUGGAGCUCUGAGGUAUGACAAGGUUUCCUGAUGCUGGAGCUCUGAGGUAUGACCAUGUUCCCUGAUGCCUGGAGCUCUGAGGUAUGACCAUGUUCCCUGAUGCCUGGAGCUCUGAGCGAUGACAAGGUUUCCAGAUGCUGGAGCUCUGAGCUAUGACCAUGUUUCCUGAUGCCUGGAGCUCUGAGGUAUGACCAUGUUUCCUGAUGCCUGGAGCUCUGAGGUAUGACCAUGUUUCCUGAUGCUGGAGCUCUGAGGUAUGACCAUGUUUCCUGAUGCCUGGAGCUCUGAGGUAUGACCAUCUUUCCUGAUGCCUGGAGCUCUGAGCUAUGACAAGGUUUCCAGAUGCUGGAGCUCUGAGGUAUGACCAUGUUUCCUGAUGUCUGGAGCUCUGAGGUAUGACCAUGUUCCCUGAUGCCUGGAGCUCUGAGGUAUGACCAUGUUUCCUGAUGCCUGGAGCUCUGAGGUAUGACCAUGUUUCCUGAUGCCUGGAGCUCUGAGGUAUGACCAUGUUUCUUGAUGCCUGGAGUUCUGAGCUAUGACCAUGUUUCCUGAUGCCUGGAGCUCUGAGGUAUGACCAUGAUUCUUGAUGCCUGGAGCUCUGAGGUAAGACCAUGAUUCUUGAUGCCUGGAGCUCUGAGCUAUGACCAUGUUUCCUGAUGCCUGGAGCUGUGAGGUAUGACAAGGUUUCCAGAUGCUGGAGCUCUGAGGUAUGACCAUGUUUCCUGAUGCCUUGAGCUCUGAGGUAUGACCAUGUUCCCUGAUGCCUGGAGCUCUGAGGUAUGACCAUGUUUCCUGAUGCCUGGAGCUCUGAGGUAUGACCAUGUUUCCUGAUGCCUGGAGCUCUGAGGUAUGACCAUGUUUCUUGAUGCCUGGAGCUCUGAGCUAUGACCAUGUUUCCUGAUGCCUGGAGCUCUGAGGUAUGACCAUGUUCCCUGAUGCCUGGAGCUCUGAGCUAUGACAAGGUUUCCAGAUGCUGGAGCUCUGAGCUAUGACCAUGUUUCCUGAUGCCUGGAGCUCUGAGGUAUGACAAGGUUGCCUGAUGCCUGGGGCUCUGAGGUAUGACCAUGUUCCCUGAUGCCUGGAGCUCUGAGGUAUGACCAUGUUCCCUGAUGCUGGAGCUCUGAGGUAUGACCAUGUUUCCUGAUGCCUGGAGCUCUGAGGUAUGACCAUGUUUCCUGAUGCUGGAGCUCUGAGGUAUGACCAUGUUCCCUGAUGCUGGAGCUCUGAGGUAUGACCAUGUUUCCUGAUGCCUGGAGCUCUGAGGUAUGACCAUGUUUCCUGAUGCUGGAGCUCUGAGGUAUGAGCAUGUUCCCUUAUGCCUGGAGCUCUGAGGUAUGACCAUGUUUCCAGAUGCUGGAGCUCUGAGGUAUGACCAUGUUUCCUGAUGCUGGAGCUCUGAGGUAUGGCCAUGUUUCCUGAUGCCUGGAGCUCUGAGGUAUGACCAUGUUUCCUGAUGCUGGAGCUCUGAGGUAUGACCAUGUUUCCUGAUACCAGGUACUUUGAGGUAUGACAAGGUUUCUUGAUGCCUGGAGUUCUGAGGUAUGAUAAGGUUUCCUGAUGCUGGAGCUUUGAGGUAUGACAAGGUUUCCUGAUGCCUGGAGCUCUGAGCUAUGACCAUGUUUCCUGAUGCCUGGAGCUCUGACGUAUGACAAGGUUUCCUGAUGCUGGAGCUCUCAGGUAUGACUAUAUUUCUAUUCCAACAUCUGCUGUCCCAGGAAGUGUAGGUGAUGACACAACAUAAAGUCCAAAAUAAGAGUAGGUUGUGAGAAACAUUUGUGUUUCAAAUACUGCGCAUGGGUCUCAAGAGGGAGAAGGAAGGCGGGCCUCUUUGCAGAGAUCUUCGUGAACAUCGUUUAUUGUAAAUUUAUGCCUCACCCUGAGGGCAGUGAAAGGCAUCAGGCGGGUUCAGCAGCGCAAAGUAGAAGUGCCCUGGGCACUUCAUCCGAAAGGGAUUUACACUGUGAGUUACAUGGGUACAACAUCAUCAGAAAGGGGCGGAAGCAAGAAGCUGCCGGAACUGUCGCCUCCGGGAGAACCUUUGAGGGGAGUCAGGGAUCCGAAAGCCGACGGGUCUCAGCAGCUCCCUCAGAGCCACAUCCCUUGUCCUAGAUGGGCACUGGCAAAAACAAGUCUCCUUCCGUGCCUCGUGCCCCCCAGGCAGCUGUGCUGAAGACAAUCCCCUCCCCACUGAGUUGACCAGGAGAAGGAUGUCUUGCGUUAACUUCCACCUUCAGGCAUCUUGGGAGCACAUCUAAUUGGAGAAACCCAAAUAAUAUCCAGAAUGCAAUUGUAGGAGAGCCUGGAAAGGAGCUUUCUUAACUUCUGAGGGAGGUGCAGAAAGGCACGCUAGAAGGAGCUGGAAAUGGAUGUUGAGUACCAACCCAUCCUAGCAACACACCGGUGCGAGGCAGGCCUGGGCUUGGAAGCUAAAGAACCAAAUGUGACAGUGGACUCUGCCCUCGUUAGUAGCUGCAUGACUGCAGUAAAGCUCUUGGUUCCCUCACGUGUAAAACAAGGAGGGUGGACCACAGCCUUUCUAGAGACCUUGUCAGUUCUUGAAACAAAAAACAACUUCUGUAAAAAGCAUGAAGAGAGACCAUCUCCUGGUACCAUCCUCCUGCCCCUUGCCUCCCAGAUGUAGCAUCCUUUGGUCUUGGUGGUCAUCAUCCUUUCUCAGAAGCUUAUAGUGGCAGCUGGAUCUCAACUGUGCCCUCACCCCACCGCACCUUGGAGAGUUAGAAUACAUCACAAUUGGCUGCAGUUACAAGUAGGAAGAGGGCAGGAAAACACGUGGGCAGAGCUGAAGUUCUCUGAUCCCACAUCUGAAUUUCCAAAAGAAUCCCUAGACAGUCUCUGCUGUUGGCCAAUAUUCCCGGAGCCGCUCUGUGAACAUAACUGAGCGGGACACCCCGGCCCAUGGCUGCGGGCGCGGCACUGGGCUUGUAUGCAGCCUGAGGAAAUCCUGCUCCUUAAGAAAUUCUCAGAGCAGCGCUUCUCAGACUUCAGUGUGCACACGGAUGCCGGGGACCUGGUUAAAAUGCAGAUACUGCGUCCGCGGGGCUGGGGUGGGAUCUGAGAUGCCGCGUGUCUGACCAGCUCAGGGCUGCUGCCACUGCUCUGUGGACCACCCUUUGAGUAGCAAGGUUUAGAUCUCCAUGUGCCCCACUCCCACCCCAGCCUCCCCGCAAGGAGACAAUUAAAUGCAAAUGUCUGCAGUAGAAUGCCAUGAACUGAAGAUUCCGACCCUGAAGAUAAAGGGUUGAGGGAUUUGGGUUUUUUCCCCCAGUAAAUAUUAAGUGACAAGCUUUACAUAAGCACUCAGAGGCACAUAUUCCUAGGGGUCUGGUUUGUGGGGUUUUGUCCCUCCUGUACCAUCUCUCUUUCCUUGUUGACUCUUUCCUCUGGGUUUGGGGCUCAGUUUCCUCAUCUAUAAAUUGGGGUAGAAAUAUCUACCUAGAGCACUAGUUAGAGGGAUAAGUGAGAUAGUGCAUGCCAAGAGCACUUGGUUUAUUACUAGAUGCUUUGAACUGUUGUCUCUGCCCCCUAAUUAUCGCCGUCAUCGCUCAGUCCUGCGUCACCUCGGCCCUUCGUCAGGUGGAGAGAAAGAUGUCACUCACCGUUGCUUCCCUUGUUUCCAAAGCAGGAAAACCUGCCGCUGCCUCCUGAGGGAUCGGGGACAGCAGACGGGGUGAGACAGAGAGGGUUAAAGCUUGCCAAGUUUUAUACUAAAGUGGUACCCUGCAAUGUAUAGAACUGCGUGGCAUAGUAAGCUAUGGUAACAAGCACAGAGAAAAACGUAAGUGACAAAAUAGAAGAAAUUGAGCAAAUAUUUAAAAUGGUAGACACUAAUUAAGAAGGAGAUGUUCAUGGCAGUUUUGUACAUAAUGACAAAAAAACUGGAAACAAUCUAAACGCGCAGCGUUCUCCAUACAGGUAUGUCAAGCAUGGCACACCUAUACACAGGAUAUUGUGUAGACUCUAAUGCUUUGUUUAGGUUUUUUUUUUUUUUUUUGGCCAGCGAAGAUUUGCCCUCAGCUAACAUCUGUUGCCAAUCUUCCUCCUUUUUCUUCCAUUUUUCCUUCGCAAAGCCCCAGUACACAGUUGUAUAUUCUGGUUGUAAGUCCUUCUAGUUCUUCCAUGUGAGCCACCUCCACAGCAUGGCCACUGACAGACAGGCGGUGUGGUUCCACAACCGAGAACUGAACCCCGGCUCCUGAAGCGGAGUGUGCCAAACUUUAAUGGCUAAGCCAUCAGGGCUGGCUCUGUUUAGAUUUUUAAUGGCAUGAAAAAUGCUUAUGAUGUGAUGUUUAGAGUACAAGGAAAAUCAGGCUACAAAUUGUUAAAUACCAAAUUAAAACAUAUGGAGGAAAAAAGGAAGGAAGGACACAUGCCACAGUGAAAAUGGUGGCCGCAUCUGAGGGACUGUUUGUUUUCCUUUUCUUCACUUCUCUGUACUUCCCAGGUCCUCAGCAAGGACCAUAUAUCUGCUCAGGCUGGAGCCAGGCUGCUGCUGUGCUGGAGGUCCACCCUUUGCCGCCUACCAACCGGGCUGGUCAUUGCACACAGCUCGCUGUGCCUCUAUUCCCCCAUAGGUGAAACGGGGCUGGUACUAACAUCUAACCCAUGGAGUUCUGUUAGGAUGAAGUGACGGAACAUUUACUGGGCACUUAGGCCUUGCACAAAAUCAGUGCUUUGCAAGUAUUAGCUGUUGUUAUUUUCAUUCUCAUAUCAUCAAAAGAAAAUCAAGCAAAAACUGAGAAAAAGAUCAAAGAUUAGAGGAAAGCAUUUAUAAAUGUUAGGAUGAGAUUUUUUUUAAAUAAACUUUUCAUUUUGAACUGAUUUCGGAUUUAGGGAAAGUUGCAGAGUUCAGAGGGACCCCAUAUAUCCCUCACCGAGUUUCCCCUGUGGCUAACGCAUUACCCUACCGUAGGACGUGCACAAAGCUAUGAGGCUGAUGCUGAUGCAGCGCUAUUAACUAAACCCUAGAUUUCAUUUGAAACUCACCUAUUCUUCCAUUUAUGUACUUUUUCUGUUCCAGGAGGGUGAUAUUUUUGAAUGUUGACUAAUGUGGCUGGGUUUUCUUUUUUACUUUUUAGUUGGGAAACAUACGUAGAAGUUUAUAAAACAAAAUGUACUGUUUAAAAGAAAUCAGAAACAGAGCACCUCCAGUACCUUAGAAUCUCGCCUUGUGUCCUUUUUCCAUCACAACACCCUUCCAACUUUGCCCCCAAGCGAUAAUUAUCACAAUGACUUUUACAGCAAUCAUAUUCUUGCUUUUCUUUAUAGUGUUA
Molecule: long non-coding RNA, 5439 nt
Filed under: Equus asinus (donkey)
Lineage: Eukaryota; Metazoa; Chordata; Mammalia; Perissodactyla; Equidae
Description: lncRNA (ENSEASG00005037972.1)
Source: RNAcentral